AUAUUUACUGUCAUAUUUGCAAAUCAUUUAUGUGGUAAGGGGCUUGCAUUGUGCUUGUACAACCAAGAAAAGUAAAAUUAAAACAAUUAAAAACUGGACAACAGAUAAGAAUCAAUAUUUCUCCAAAGGAAAUAACCAAAUGAAAAUAAUCACACUGAAAUAAUACUCAACAUUGUUAGGCCUUAGAACAAUGUAAACCGAACCCAUCAAAUACCACUUCAAGUCUACUGGGAUGGCUACAGUAGGGAACACAGGUAAUAACAGAUGUUGGAGAGGAUGGAAAAAAUGCAAAAAUCUUUGAUGUUUCUCUAAGGUUGUAAAAUGUUGCAGCUUUUUUGAAAAACCAAUUUGGCAGAUUCUCAAAAGGUUAGCCAAAGAGUUGCAUAUGACACAGCAAUUACACUGCUAAUUUUGUACUCAAGAGAAAUAAAAAGAUAUAUGCAGCUCCAUUAUUUGCAAUAGGCAAACCGUGUAGCAUCCAAAUGUGCCUCAACAGAUGGAUGAGUGAACUGAAUGUGGUUUGAACAUAACCAAGCCCCAGCAGGCACUCUAACGCCUGGACAGACCUUGGCCUCUGAUCCCAGGGAAGCAAAAUGCCCAGAGUCGGCAAGCAUCUGGAGCUAGGAAGGAAAUUAGCAGCUGCCCACAUCUGGGCUGGGGGACAAGUUGAGGAGAGAUGGGACUCAACUGCUCACAGAUAUGAUGAAGGUUUGGAGGGGUCGAAAAGUUCUAAAAACAAGCUAUGAUUAGACUGAGCAACUGAGAAACAGACUUGUGCAGAGGAUUUACACUGCAUAGUGUGUGAAGUGUUCCGUUGUAGAGUUACUGAAGGAGGAAGAUGACCUCAGAAUGGCGCAGUAGCGAGCAGAGUGGGUAGCAGGGCGCACAGAUGCUCUGCGCUGCUAACGGGAGCUUGUGGUCACUCACCUGGAAGCCACAUCCUCACCGUCAGUGACACUUCUCGUGUUCUGUCAUUCACACUCCUUACUCACAGCUGCCUCUGUUUAGACAGGACUCAUUGUUGCAGAUUAUGGAAAUCAAAUUCAAGUUUGUCUAAAGUAGUGUGGAGAGUGCCCCGCUCAUGUAAGUGAGGGAGACAGACGGACACCAAUCAGGCGUGUGUGGCUUCCAUCCCUGUCCAUCACUUGGCUGCCUUCUGCUCUGUUUUCUUUCUGGUACUUCCUGCUCUUCUGUAAGGCACAGGUCCCAAUCUCUGGCAUGGUGACGAUGGAAAAAACCAUUUUCUACUGCUUACCUCUUGUGAAUAGUGUGGUGUGCCCACUUCUCCAUCAACGUUUCUAAAGAGAGGGACCAAGAGGGGAGUGAAAGUAUCUAUUCACUGACAAAGCUAACAGGUGCCAACUAAUUAUAGUUUUCCUCUUCACUAAUAUCAUGGAGUUACUUGAAAGGAAAGAUUGAAGAAACAAUCUAGCUUUUAAGAGAAUCGUUUUGCUAAGAGUCAUCAGUUCAGGCCAAAGGAGAGAUGAACUUUUCAUAACUUAACAAGCCCCAGCCUUCAACACCACCGUUUACAACUUGGCAUUCAACAAAGAAAAUUCCAGAAAACUCUCUCAGAUAUUUUGUGUUCUACAAAUAUCAACUCUGGCAGGAAAUCUUCAAUCAGUGAUAAAAUGUAAGGGAUCUUCAAAAAUUUCAUGUAAAAUGCGUAUCUACUGACUGGACUUAGAUAAAUUUGUGAAAUCCAAAUGACUGUUAUUUCCAUUAGAUGUAGGGGUCCAAAUAAAAUCAGAUUUCAAAUUUCUUCACAGUGGGAUCUAUAAGACAGAAGCAACAAAUGAGAGAAGGUAGGGAGGAAAGGAGGCAGGGAGCGGAGGAAAGCAAAGUGGGUGGGGAGGGCAGGCGGGUGCUGCAGGUGGGAAGGGGCAGGACCACCUCCGCCACAGCUUUGCUCUCCUGCUUUGUGGUGUGGGACCCAGUGAGAACAAUCAACGUCACCACGUCUAUUUAGCCUGAAUUCCAUGGCAGCGCAGUGGCAUCGUGAUGUGUGGGAAAGACGCACAGGAGCCAGAGUGUCACCACGGCCUCAGGAGGGCAUUGAUCUGGAACGGGAAGGGUGUCUGGUCAGCGCCACAGCUCUGCUCGUGGUCCCAGGUCCCACAUGAUAAAUUGCAUAUGAGGACACUGUCAACCCAAAAAGGAUCACUGGAAGAGAGUUUGCGUUAAUAAAAUCUUUGCUCCAUCUUGCAUAAUUUCUUUG
This is a non-coding RNA of Oryctolagus cuniculus (rabbit), 2218 nucleotides long. The record is from RefSeq and is a predicted model, not a curated record. NCBI's taxonomy places the organism in Eukaryota, Metazoa, Chordata, Mammalia, Lagomorpha, Leporidae.